ACUCAAAGGAAUAGACGGGGGCCCGCACAAGCAGUGGAGCAUGUGGUUUAAUUCGAAGCAACGCGAAGAACCUUACCAAGACUUGACAUCCCGCUGACCGGUUUAGAGAUAGACCUUCCCUUCGGGGCAGCGGUGACAGGUGGUGCAUGGUUGUCGUCAGCUCGUGUCGUGAGAUGUUGGGUUAAGUCCCGCAACGAGCGCAACCCUUACGUUGUGUUGCCAUCAUUCAGUUGGGCACUCACAAUGGACUGCCGGUGACAAACCGGAGGAAGGCGGGGAUGACGUCAAAUCAUCAUGCCCCUUAUGUCUUGGGCUACACACGUGCUACAAUGGGCGGUACAAAGAGACGCGAGACCGCGAGGUGGAGCAAAUCUCAGAAAGCCGUUCACAGUUCGGAUUGCAGGCUGCAACUCGCCUGCAUGAAGCCGGAAUUGCUAGUAAUCGCGGAUCAGCAUGCCGCGGUGAAUUCGUUCCCGGGCCUUGUACACACCGCCCGU
Molecule: ribosomal RNA, 497 nt
Filed under: uncultured bacterium
Lineage: Bacteria
Description: partial 16S ribosomal RNA
Rfam family: Bacterial small subunit ribosomal RNA
Source: RNAcentral